Molecule: long non-coding RNA, 350 nt
Filed under: Panax ginseng (ginseng)
Lineage: Eukaryota; Viridiplantae; Streptophyta; Magnoliopsida; Apiales; Araliaceae
Description: long non-coding RNA (PGIN_LNC001133)
Source: RNAcentral
GGUUUGAAUAUUAAAUGUUCAUAAAAUGUGUUUUGUUACCUGCUAAGGUGUAUGUUCAUAAAUUUAUAUGAUAUAAAUCAAAAGAAUUGAAUGUAGAAUUAGUAUUAGUAUACUGUAGUAAUAAUAUUAUAUCUAUAUAUACUAGUUAGUGAUCAGAAUGUUAUUAUAUGGUUGGCUAUGCAAAUAAAAGACAAAAUAAGCUUUUAAUAAAGUAUUGUACGAUUUUGCUAAUUGUUGUAGUACUUUUUUUCAAAUGAAUUGAUUUAUGGAAUGAAACUUGGAUAAAUGUUUAUGUCCAACAUAAGUGCCCUGCAUGUAUUUUUUAAAAAUAAAUUAUGUAUAUUAUCGGC